Molecule: ribosomal RNA, 460 nt
Filed under: uncultured bacterium
Lineage: Bacteria
Description: bacterial SSU rRNA
Rfam family: Bacterial small subunit ribosomal RNA
Source: RNAcentral
ACACUGUACGUAGUUUGAUCAUGGCUCAGAACGAACGCUGGCGGCAGGCCUAACACAUGCAAGUCGAGCGCCCCGCAAGGGGAGCGGCGGACGGGUGAGUAACGCGUGGGAACGUACCCUUUGCUACGGAAUAGCCUCGGGAAACUGGGAGUAAUACCGUAUGUGCCCUUCGGGGGAAAGAUUUAUCGGCAAAGGAUCGGCCCGCGUUGGAUUAGGUAGUUGGUGGGGUAAUGGCCUACCAAGCCGACGAUCCAUAGCUGGUUUGAGAGGAUGAUCAGCCACACUGGGACUGAGACACGGCCCAGACUCCUACGGGAGGCAGCAGUGGGGAAUCUUAGACAAUGGGCGCAAGCCUGAUCUAGCCAUGCCGCGUGAGCGAUGAAGGCCUUAGGGUUGUAAAGCUCUUUCAGUGGGGAAGAUAAUGACUGUACCCACAGAAGAAGCCCCGGCUAACUCCGUG